Molecule: ribosomal RNA, 484 nt
Filed under: uncultured bacterium
Lineage: Bacteria
Description: partial 16S ribosomal RNA
Rfam family: Bacterial small subunit ribosomal RNA
Source: RNAcentral
AUUGAACGCUGGCGGCAGGCCUAACACAUGCAAGUCGAGCGGAUGAAGGGAGCUUGCUCCUGGAUUUAGCGGCGGACGGGUGAGUAAUGCCUAGGAAUCUGCCUGGUAGUGGGGGAUAACGUCCGGAAACGGGCGCUAAUACCGCAUACGUCCUGAGGGAGAAAGUGGGGGAUCUUCGGACCUCACGCUAUCAGAUGAGCCUAGGUCGGAUUAGCUAGUUGGUGGGGUAAAGGCCUACCAAGGCGACGAUCCGUAACUGGUCUGAGAGGAUGAUCAGUCACACUGGAACUGAGACACGGUCCAGACUCCUACGGGAGGCAGCAGUGGGGAAUAUUGGACAAUGGGCGAAAGCCUGAUCCAGCCAUGCCGCGUGUGUGAAGAAGGUCUUCGGAUUGUAAAGCACUUUAAGUUGGGAGGAAGGGCAGUAAGUUAAUACCUUGCUGUUUUGAUGUUACCAACAGAAUAAGCACCGGCUAACUUCGUG